Non-coding RNA from Phoenix dactylifera (date palm), 1204 nucleotides. Lineage: Eukaryota; Viridiplantae; Streptophyta; Magnoliopsida; Arecales; Arecaceae. The record is from RefSeq and is a predicted model, not a curated record.
CAAACAGAUCUCGUGAUUUAACACUGCCCACCGAUUACUAAAUAAGGGGAGGCUUGGAGAUCCGACAAUUGAGAUCGCGCCAUCGAUGAAACUGUGAGCGGUUAGAUCUGGAUCUCACUUGGAAAUCCUGCAUCCAACCCAAGGGCUAAGGCCCUCUCCUACCCCUCCUCUCCAACCAUCUUCCUCUUCCAACUUGCUGCCCACCUUUGAAUAUCUUUCUUCCCCACCUCUUUCUCCAUCUGUCCUAGCUUUUGCUCUCCCCUCCCUUUUUGGUGCUGCCAUUGUCUCUUCCAAAACCACCUCCAUUAUUGAGCUGCCUUUUCCCCGCAGAACUCGUCGCUCAUCCACAGCCCUAGCUGAGAUAAUCUCUUCUUCUUCUUCCCAAGAGUGAACUUUUCCCUCUCCCCUGUGAUCUUUGGAGCUUUGUUGGCUGUUGGAAAGUAGAAGGAAAAUCAGAGAACAGAUAUCAGAAUUGUGGCAGGUGGGCCAUAUCAUCCUGGUAAAAAUACAACUCGAAGAAUCUGAAUAUAACUUAGCAAAAAAAAGAAUCUGAAUAUAAAAUGUCCCGAAGCUGAUCUGGGGCUGAAGCCAAAUUCUCCCAGAUGGUGUCCACUAUUGUGUGAUUCUUUCACUGUUCAAUCAAAUGAAAUAACAUUUGAUUCAAACAUCCACACCAGCUAAAAAGUUUUGUUUUUUUAUUUGAUUAAUGACAAACAGUUAUUUUUCAUUAUUUUAUAUCAUAAAAGCAUAUAAAAGAAAUUGUAACAGCUAUUAUCUUACUCCAAAGAAUCCUGGGAAAGGGCUCAAAUUGGCAAACAAAUGACAUUGUUUUUGUCAUAAUGGUAAGUAAAACCCAACACACUCACACUCCUGCUUGACGUUCCAAUUUGUUUCUUUUUUGAAUAUUGACUGAAAUCUUUCUGGUCAGGCUAUCGGCAAGCCCUCCCAUCUCCUUCCUUUUGAACUGCACAUUUGAAGUGCACAUCAGCUGGCUCUGACCGAUUCAAGGAAAAGCAGAAGCCAAAAAACAGAUAUUCCCCUCAUGGAUUACCUUGCAACUUGCUCAGAUGUCACGAAUAUUCCAUUAACUAUUGCUUAACUCUAAGAUUUGUAGGAACCAGGCAUCAUUAAUAACUAAUAAACAUUUUUCCAGGAAGCAUGAUGUCAUACGGAACUCCACUGGCGGAUCAAACUUUCAUAGACU